CAGCAGCCGCGGGAAUACGUAGGUGGCAAGCGUUGUCCGGAAUUAUUGGGCGUAAAGCGCGCGCAGGCGGAUAGGUCAGUCUGUCUUAAAAGUUCGGGGCUUAACCCCGUGAUGGGAUGGAAACUGCCAAUCUAGAGUAUCGGAGAGGAAAGUGGAAUUCCUAGUGUAGCGGUGAAAUGCGUAGAUAUUAGGAAGAACACCAGUGGCGAAGGCGACUUUCUGGACGAAAACUGACGCUGAGGCGCGAAAGCCAGGGGAGCGAACGGGAUUAGAUACCCGCGUAGUCCCUGUCUCUUAUACC
This 301-nucleotide ribosomal RNA is filed under the name uncultured bacterium. Its description in RNAcentral is "partial 16S ribosomal RNA". It matches the Rfam family "Bacterial small subunit ribosomal RNA", at positions 509 to 808 of the family's 1533-position model. The record is from RNAcentral.